Bemisia tabaci is the source of this 453-nucleotide non-coding RNA. The record is from RefSeq and is a predicted model, not a curated record. Lineage: Eukaryota; Metazoa; Arthropoda; Insecta; Hemiptera; Aleyrodidae.
GCAAGUCUCGCACUGUUUACAGUUGCAUUUUUUAUGUGAGUAAGUAAUUUCUCUAAAAACUGAAAGGAUUUCUUGGUGAAUUGAUGGGAAAGUGUGCUAACAAUGUGAUUUUGGAAUAGAGAUUCAGUUCGUUUUUAUUUUUCGACGCCGAUCAAUCUUGUGAUUGGUAUCAUGAAAUUGAGCCCUGUCAGACCUGUUGGCACAGAGCUGCAGAUAGAUCAGAGAGUUUUGUCAAGGCGAUCGAAAAUCUUGCGAGAGACCAAGUCAAAUCAUGCCAACCUGGAGCCUCCUCUGUCUGCGGUCACAUGAAUGAAUGUGGAGUCCAUAAGGAACCAAAGGAACAAUUUUAAGGCUUACCAUUUUCGUCGCACAAUCACUUGUUUUGGCUUUGAUCGGAGCUUAGCUACAUUUUGCAAGGAGAAACUACAAAUUCUGACUCAUCUGUCAAAACCA